AAAAUAACUCCCGGCAAUUCAGUAGCUCUUUUGAAUUGCUCUAGUAAACAGCUCCGGCAUUGAGUUUUUAGAAUAAAAAAAUGAGCGAAUACCAAUAUUUGACUUCGGAAAUCCAAGUGCCGAAAGAAUGGCCGGUGAACAUUGCACGACAAUUAUUUGAACAUCUUGUUAAAAAUGCAACGAUACGUCAUCGAAAAGGUCAGCAAGUAGUCGUUACCAUAGAAAACGUAUCGGCAGUAGUUACCAAAUUUGAAAACAAGCCGGGAUAUAUUUUAGAAAAAAUAGAAGAAAUAAAAGAUGAAAGUACUUACAAAAUAGAUCUUAUUUUUCCGGCGAAAGUUGUGAUUCUGCCGCUCAAACCUGGCGGGAU
Molecule: long non-coding RNA, 370 nt
Organism: Pieris napi
Lineage: Eukaryota; Metazoa; Arthropoda; Insecta; Lepidoptera; Pieridae
Exons: 3
Source: RefSeq, a predicted model, not a curated record